Molecule: ribosomal RNA, 348 nt
Filed under: Triticum aestivum (bread wheat)
Lineage: Eukaryota; Viridiplantae; Streptophyta; Magnoliopsida; Poales; Poaceae
Description: partial small subunit ribosomal RNA
Source: RNAcentral
AUGGUAUGGUCCGUCCGUCUCCCACUGAAGAUCCGCAUCUUCAUGUGGCAGUGGAUCCGUGGACGGAUCCCAUCCGGUGUGGAGGUCCGCAAGCGUAAUGGCCCAGGCACUGGUAUCUGCCCCCUCUGUGCUGUCCCCGAGGACUCCAACCACAUCUUCUUCGCGUGCGCCUCCGCCCGGUUCCUCUGGAGCUGCUUCCGCGAGAUUGUCGGGGGGGUUGGACCCACACCAACUUCCCCGACUUAUUUGCUGAACUCCAAACGUCCCCCUCGUCCUCCCGCCACAUUAGGUGGCUGGAGGUUGGGGUCCUUGCCUGGACUCUUUGGACUGUUCGUAAUAAGCUUGUGA